Molecule: ribosomal RNA, 865 nt
Filed under: uncultured bacterium
Lineage: Bacteria
Description: bacterial SSU rRNA
Rfam family: Bacterial small subunit ribosomal RNA
Source: RNAcentral
UGCAAGUCGUGGGGCAAGCGUUAGUAGUAAUACCGACGCCUAGACCGGCAAACGGGUGAGGAACACGUACACAACCUCCCUCAUAGUGGAGAAUAACCCGGGGAAACCUGGACUAAUACUCCGUAACAUAUUGAAAAGGCAUCUUUUUAAUAUUAUAGCAGUAAUGCGCUAAGAGACGGGUGUGCGCAUGAUUAGGUAGUUGGCGGGGUAACGGCCCACCAAGCCUACGAUCAUUAACUGGUGUGAGAGCACGACCAGUCACACGGGCACUGAGACACGGGCCCGACUCCUACGGGAGGCAGCAGUAAGGAAUAUUGGUCAAUGGAGGAAACUCUGAACCAGCCAUGCCGCGUGGAGGAUGAAGGUCCUCUGGAUUGUAAACUUCUUUUAUAUGGGACGAAAAAAGGGUUUUCUAACUCGUCUGACGGUACCAUAUGAAUAAGCACCGGCUAACUCCGUGCCAGCAGCCGCGGUAAUACGGAGGGUGCAAGCGUUAUCCGGAUUCACUGGGUUUAAAGGGAGCGUAGGUGGGUUGGUAAGUCAGUGGUGAAAUCUUCAAGCUUAACUUGGAAACUGCCGUUGAUACUAUCAGUCUUGAAUAUUGUGGAGGUUAGCGGAAUAUGUCAUGUAGCGGUGAAAUGCUUAGAUAUGACAUAGAACACCAAUUGCGAAGGCAGCUGGCUACACAUAUAUUGACACUGAGGCUCGAAAGCGUGGGGAGCGAACAGGAUUAGAUACCCUGGUAGUCCACGCCGUAAACGAUGCUAACUCGUUUUUGGAGCGCAAGCUUCAGAGACCAAGCGAAAGUGAUAAGUUAGCCACCUGGGGAGUACGUUCGCAAGAAUGAAACUCAAAGGAAUGACGG